Molecule: ribosomal RNA, 429 nt
Filed under: Pseudomonadota bacterium
Lineage: Bacteria; Pseudomonadati; Pseudomonadota
Description: Proteobacteria bacterium partial 16S ribosomal RNA
Rfam family: Bacterial small subunit ribosomal RNA
Source: RNAcentral
UGGGGAAUAUUGGACAAUGGGCGAAAGCCUGAUCCAGCCAUGCCGCGUGUGUGAAGAAGGUCUUCGGAUUGUAAAGCACUUUAAGUUGGGAGGAAGGGCAGUAAGCGAAUACCUUGCUGUUUUGACGUUACCGACAGAAUAAGCACCGGCUAACUCUGUGCCAGCAGCCGCGGUAAUACAGAGGGUGCGAGCGUUAAUCGGAUUUACUGGGCGUAAAGCGUGCGUAGGCGGCUAAUUGAGUCGGAUGUGAAAUCCCCGAGCUUAACUUGGGAAUUGCAUUCGAUACUGGUUAGCUAGAGUGUGGGAGAGGAAGGUAGAAUUCCAGGUGUAGCGGUGAAAUGCGUAGAGAUCUGGAGGAAUACCGAUGGCGAAGGCAGCCAUCUGGCCUAACACUGACGCUGAGGUACGAAAGCAUGGGGAGCAAACAGG